This 473-nucleotide ribosomal RNA is filed under the name uncultured bacterium. Its description in RNAcentral is "SSU rRNA". It matches the Rfam family "Bacterial small subunit ribosomal RNA", at positions 26 to 521 of the family's 1533-position model. The record is from RNAcentral.
AGGAUGAACGCUGGCGGCGUGCCUAACACAUGCAAGUCGAACGUCCUGUCUCGCAAGAGGCAGGGAGUGGCGGACGGGUGAGUACCACGUGGGUCAUCUACCGUGAGGUGAGGAAUACCGGCGAGAAAUCGCCGACAAGACCGCAUAGGCUCGAUGCAAGUCGAGCAAAGCUCUUUCGAGAGAGGGAGCGCCACACGAGGAGCCUGCGCCCGAUUAGCUAGCUGGUGGAGUAACGGUUCACCAGGGCGACGAUCGGUAGCUGGUCUGAGAGGACGAUCAGCCACACUGGGAUUGAGAACGGCCCAGACUCCUACGGGGGGCAGCAGUGAGGAAUUUUCGUCAAUGGGGGCAACCCUGAACGAGCAACGCCGCGUGCAGGAAGAGGUUUCGGAUCGUAAACUGCUUUUCUCGGGAAGAGAAUGGACGGUACCCGAGGAAUCAGCCCCGGCUAACUACGCGCCAGCAGCCGCGGU